RNAcentral lists this ribosomal RNA (540 nucleotides) under Phytocoris sp. WCW-2003e. RNAcentral describes it as "eukaryotic LSU rRNA". It matches the Rfam family "Eukaryotic large subunit ribosomal RNA", at positions 657 to 1151 of the family's 3401-position model. Lineage: Eukaryota; Metazoa; Arthropoda; Insecta; Hemiptera; Miridae. The record is from RNAcentral.
AAACACGGACCAAGGAGUUUAGCGUGUGCGCGAGUCAUUGGGUGUUAAAACCUAAAGGCGAAAUGAAAGUGAAGGAAACUUUGUUUUCGAGGGAGGAUGGGUUAGGUCCCUCUCGAGGGCCGGCCUCGCACUCCCGGGGCGUCUCUAUCUCAUUGCGAGAGGAGGCGCACCUAGAGCGUACACGCUGAUACCCGAAAGAUGGUGAACUAUGCCUGGCCAGGACGAAGCCAGGGGAAACCCUGGUGGAGGUCCGCAGCGAUUCUGACGUGCAAAUCGAUCGUCGGAGCUGGGUUUAGGGGCGAAAGACCAAUCGAACCAUCUAGUAGCUGGUUCCCUCUGAAGUUUCCCUCAGGAUAGCUUGCGCUCGGAUGAAACGAGUCUCAUCCGGUAGAGCGAAUGAUUAGAGGCCUUGGGGUCGAAACGACCUCAACCUAUUCUCAAACUCCAAAUAGAUGAGAACCCCGGCUUUCUUGAACCCCGUUUAUGAAGCCGGGGGCUCGGAUCAGAGUGCCAAGUGGGCCAAUUUUGGUAAGCAGAACU